This 433-nucleotide ribosomal RNA is filed under the name uncultured bacterium. RNAcentral's name for it is "partial 16S ribosomal RNA". It matches the Rfam family "Bacterial small subunit ribosomal RNA", at positions 29 to 507 of the family's 1533-position model. The record is from RNAcentral.
AACGAACGCUGGCGGCAUGCCUAACACAUGCAAGUCGAUCGAGACCUUCGGGUCUAGUGGCGCACGGGUGCGUAACGCGUGGGAACCUGCCCUUAGGUUCGGAAUAACUCCCCGAAAGGGGUGCUAAUACCGGAUAAUGUCUUCGGACCAAAGAUUUAUCGCCUUUGGAUGGGCCCGCGUUGGAUUAGCUAGUUGGUAGGGUAAAAGCCUACCAAGGCGACGAUCCAUAGCUGGUCUGAGAGGAUGAUCAGCCACACUGGGACUGAGACACGGCCCAGACUCCUACGGGAGGCAGCAGUGGGGAAUAUUGGACAAUGGGCGAAAGCCUGAUCCAGUAAUGCCGCGUGAGUGAUGAAGGCCUUAGGGUUGUAAAGCUCUUUUACCCGGGAUGAUAAUGACAGUACCGGGAGAAUAAGCUCCGGCUAACUCCGUG